UACGUAGGUGGCAAGCGUUGUCCGGAUUUACUGGGCGUAAAGCGCGCGCAGGCGGUUCGGUACGUCCGGCGUGAAAGCUCCCGGCUCAACUGGGAGAGGGCGUUGGAUACGGCCGGACUGGAGGGCGGUAGAGGUCGGUGGAAUUCCCGGUGUAGUGGUGAAAUGCGUAGAGAUCGGGAGGAACACCUGUGGCGAAGGCGGCCGACUGGGCCGUCCCUGACGCUGAGGCGCGAAAGCAUGGGGAGCGAACAGG
RNAcentral lists this ribosomal RNA (253 nucleotides) under uncultured bacterium. RNAcentral's name for it is "partial 16S ribosomal RNA". It matches the Rfam family "Bacterial small subunit ribosomal RNA", at positions 524 to 776 of the family's 1533-position model. The record is from RNAcentral.